Long non-coding RNA from Ruditapes philippinarum (Manila clam), 224 nucleotides. RefSeq lists it as uncharacterized. The transcript has 3 exons. Lineage: Eukaryota; Metazoa; Mollusca; Bivalvia; Venerida; Veneridae. The record is from RefSeq and is a predicted model, not a curated record.
CGUUAAAAGGCAGGUGGUUGUGCAUGUCUGUAUUUCUGUUUUUUGUAUGUCUUAAAAGAUUUAUUUCGAAGGGAUUUUUGGAGGAAAAUUAAAUUAAGUUUCAUGUUCAACGUCGAGUCAAGUUUCUCCUCCAAUCUUAGCUACAGAAAGAACUAACAGAAUAAGCAAGAGUUUGAUGCAGAGUUAUUUACAAAGAUGGAAGAGAUUUCUGCUAGAACAAGCCG